UGGGGAAUCUUCCGCAAUGGGCGAAAGCCUGACGGAGCAAUGCCGCGUGGAGGUAGAAGGCCCACGGGUCGUAAACUCCUUUUCUCGGAGAAGAAGCAGUGACGGUAUCCGAAGAAUAAGCAUCGGCUAACUCUGUGCCAGCAGCCGCGGUAAGACAGGGGAUGCAAGCGUUAUCCGGAAUGAUUGGGCGUAAAGCGUCUGUAGGUGGCUCCUUAAGUCCGCUGUCAAAUCCCAGGGCUCAACCCUGGACAGGCUGUGGAAACUACUAAGCUGGAGUACGGGAGGGGGAGGGGGAAUGUCCGGUGGAGCGGUGAAAUGCGUAGAGAUCGGAAAGAACACCAAAGGCGAAGGCACCCUGCUGGGCCGACACUGACACUGAGAGACGAAAGCUAGGGGAGCGAAUGGG
This 406-nucleotide ribosomal RNA is filed under the name Acidobacteriota bacterium. RNAcentral describes it as "Acidobacteria bacterium partial 16S ribosomal RNA". It matches the Rfam family "Bacterial small subunit ribosomal RNA", at positions 355 to 776 of the family's 1533-position model. Lineage: Bacteria; Pseudomonadati; Acidobacteriota. The record is from RNAcentral.